ACAAUUAAGCCUAUGGAAUGUUCCCAUAAUGAUAGGAAUAUCAGCAUGUGUGUUCAUUAAUUCAAUCAAUUAAUGGUCAAUUUUAAUCUAAGUCCAUAAAUAGUACUAUUUAAAAAUUUGAGGUCAGUAAUAGAUAGCAGCACAACAGUACUGGAGCAAUGGCUGCUGAACAUUUUUUUUUUUUUGAUCAAAUAAAUGUCUUCGUAAGCAUAAGAGACCUCAGUCAGAAACAUUAAAAAAAAUCCUAUUGACCCCUAACCUUUGAACGCUAUAUAAACAGUCUAGUCAUGUCUAAAAGUGUCUUUCUAAGUCUCUCAUAGAUUGCUGCUCACGGGUGUUAGUCCAUAACAUCAGUAAGGUAACAUUAGGUAAGUUGACAACAAGAACAUCAGGUCAAUCUGCUGCUGUCCAGAAUCAGGUGGUUUGUCUUCGUCUGGCAUCUCAGCUGAGACCUGUCCACUAUGAGUGACCCUUCCAGUAGUUGUGAAGUACCAGUGGUGUAGCUCUCAGCAUCACCGAUGCACACAAGCCCUCACAGCACGUCAAGCUGCAAACCGUGUGAGGGUCCCUAACCUACCCUACUCAACCGUUUAAGACAACCGCAUGUCAACCAGCCACUUAAAACAUCCUAACAACCUCAUUAGCGACGCAUGAAAAACCAAACCGAGGAGUCCAGCAACCACAACGCAACACAAACAACCGUUCAGAAAACCUCGGGAAACACAAAUCACCAAAAACAUCCCGACAACCACAUAGCAAAGCACUAAAAGCCUGUUAGAACAACAGAGGACCACAAAUCAACGCACUGACAGUCACCAAAACAUCUGAACAAACACGCAGAAAUGUGCUAAAAACUUACUCUACAAAUGAUGUACAAUAUUUACAUACAUAGGUCCCGCUGUGUGACGCUCCAUGUGACGCUGUGAUGACUCAGUGUCUGGGCUUCUUUCUUCGGGGUUCCUCGGGCAGAGGCUCUUCACUGAUGUCCACGUGGAUUCGUGGAGCGAAGCGUCUGCUGGUGGUGAAGCUCUCUGUGACGAGGACGUGUCCAUCUGGCUGUUCUGUCUCCAGCAGUGAAGGGCAGUUGAGUGUCUCCCACAGACGCUGCUUGAUCUUCAGCCCCAGCUCAAGGCUGUAGCGGCGCUGUCGACCACAGCGUGUCUCCAUCAUGGGCUCCACAGAGCGAUAAAUGUCCUGGUAGCUCUGUACGCUGCAGCCGUGGAUGGAGAUGGGCUCUUCCUGCUGACACAGAGACACUGGACACACAUCCACUGAAGAGACUGAGGCUGCUGGACGGAUGUCAGGAAGGACAGCAGCGUUCUUCAGAUAGCGCUCUUCUAACCUGUUGGGUCUGUGAGUUUUGGCAGAGAUGCAGCUGUAGGUGUGAUCUAACCUGAUAACAGCUGUCUGUUGUGAAAGCUCACAGGCCUCUUGAAUGGAAGAGACGCCCUCCACCGAGAAUCCCCUCAGGUGUGUGGGAAGAGCCCUGCUUCCUCUGGGGCGACGCUGCUCCAUGAAGAUGCCUAGAGAAACACUUCACAAAUUACACAAACUGAUGGAACUCACCAAACUGUAGAGUUGAAGACUUGUAGCGUGUGAUCAGGCUUCAAAGUUUCAGGGACAAUUGUGUUGAUUUCAAAUAUCAACUCAAUUUCAAAUAUCAACUAAAGCUGCUGUUACUGACAUAGAAUGUUGAGGCUCAUUUAAAUGUAAACAAUACUUACAAGCAAAGGAGGAGAAGAAUUACAAUAUCUCACUGAAGGAU
Carassius carassius (crucian carp) is the source of this 1765-nucleotide long non-coding RNA. RefSeq lists it as uncharacterized. Lineage: Eukaryota; Metazoa; Chordata; Actinopteri; Cypriniformes; Cyprinidae. The record is from RefSeq and is a predicted model, not a curated record. The transcript has 3 exons.